Molecule: non-coding RNA, 207 nt
Organism: Hydra vulgaris (swiftwater hydra)
Lineage: Eukaryota; Metazoa; Cnidaria; Hydrozoa; Anthoathecata; Hydridae
Source: RefSeq, a predicted model, not a curated record
AAUAUUGUUUAUUUGAACAUUAUAAUCAGAAUUAAAUUGCCUUUUUUUAUUAUGUUUUUUGUUUAGCUGUUUCAUCGGCAUCAUUAGUCUCUUCAGAUAUCAAUGAAGUAUCAACUCUAAGGCAACAGAUUGGUAAGCAAAAAUAUAUCAUAUGUUUUUAUCUCCCCAAAGCUUGAUAGGCUGUUACAGUUAAGGAUGCUACUUUAA